UAGGAAACGGAUGAUGACGAGAAUUUAAGGUUUGAAGGCUCUCAAGAUGAAUAUGAAGGUAACAAGGAUGCUGCACGCGUGCACUGAUGCGUGUAAAACAAAAACUCGAUGGAUAUGAAGAAGGGGAAAAGCGAAGCAUACAUGGACAGGUUCAACAACUUAUACAAGAUGCGAUUGAUCCCAA
Molecule: long non-coding RNA, 184 nt
Organism: Pyrus x bretschneideri (Chinese white pear)
Lineage: Eukaryota; Viridiplantae; Streptophyta; Magnoliopsida; Rosales; Rosaceae
Exons: 2
Source: RefSeq, a predicted model, not a curated record